UGGGGAAUCUUGCACAAUGGGGGAAACCCUGAUGCAGCGACGCCGCGUGAACGAUGAAGCCCUUCGGGGUGUAAAGUUCUUUCGACAGGAACGAUAAUGACGGUACCUGGAGAAGAAGCUGCGGCUAACUACGUGCCAGCAGCCGCGGUAAUACGUAGGCAGUGAGCGUUGUUCGGAGUUACUGGGCGUAAAGAGUGCGUAGGCGGCGAGCCAAGUUUGGUGUGAAAUCUCCCGGCUUAACCGGGAGGGUGCGCCGAAAACUGGUUGGCUGGAGUAUGGGAGAGGAAAGCGGAAUUCCUGGUGUAGCGGUGAAAUGCGUAGAUAUCAGGAGGAACACCUGCGGUGUAGACAGCUUUCUGGACCAAAACUGACGCUGAGGCACGAAAGCGUGGGUAGCAAACA
This 402-nucleotide ribosomal RNA is filed under the name uncultured bacterium. Its description in RNAcentral is "bacterial SSU rRNA". It matches the Rfam family "Bacterial small subunit ribosomal RNA", at positions 355 to 774 of the family's 1533-position model. The record is from RNAcentral.